Molecule: ribosomal RNA, 296 nt
Filed under: uncultured bacterium
Lineage: Bacteria
Description: partial 16S ribosomal RNA
Rfam family: Bacterial small subunit ribosomal RNA
Source: RNAcentral
GCGCCUACGGGGGGCAGCAGUGGGGAAUAUUGCACAAUGGGGGAAACCCUGAUGCAGCGACGCCGCGUGAGUGAGGAAGUAUUUCGGUAUGUAAAGCUCUAUCAGCAGGGAAGAAAAUGACGGUACCUGACUAAGAAGCCCCGGCUAACUACGUGCCAGCAGCCGCGGUAAUAUGUAGGGGGCAAGCGUUAUCCGGAUUUACUGGGGGUAAAGGGAGCGUAGACGGAGGAGCAAGUCUGAUGUGAAAAUCCGGGGCCCACCCCCGGAGCUGCAUUGGGAACUGUUUAUCUAGUGUG